Molecule: ribosomal RNA, 468 nt
Filed under: uncultured bacterium
Lineage: Bacteria
Description: partial 16S ribosomal RNA
Rfam family: Bacterial small subunit ribosomal RNA
Source: RNAcentral
GACGAACGCUGGCGGCGUGCUUAACACAUGCAAGUCGAACGGAAAGGCCCUUCUUUUGGGGGUUGCUCGACUGACGAACGGGUGAGUAGCAAGUGAGUAACCUUCGCUUGAGGGUGGGAUAACUUCAGGAAGCGGGGGCUAAGACCGGAUAGGAGCUCCUGCUGCAUGGUGGGGGUUGGAUAGGUUCGGCGGUUGGGGAUUGGCUCGCGGCUUAUCAGCUGGUUGGUGGGGGAGUGGCUUACCAAGGCUUGGACGGGUAGCCGGCCUGAGGGGGUGACCGGCACCCUUGGGACUGAGUUCCGGCCCGGACCCCUACGGGAGCAAGCAGUGGGGAAUAUUGAACAAUGGGCGGAAGCCUGAGGAAGAACCGCCGCGUGGGGAAUGACGGCUUUCGGUUUGUAAACGCCUUUAGCCGGGGAGGAGGCGGGAGUGACGGUAACGGGUAAAGAAGCACCGGCUAACUACGUG